Molecule: microRNA precursor, 85 nt
Filed under: Canis lupus familiaris (dog)
Lineage: Eukaryota; Metazoa; Chordata; Mammalia; Carnivora; Canidae
Description: mir-8799 microRNA precursor family
Rfam family: mir-8799 microRNA precursor family
Source: Rfam by way of RNAcentral
AGGGGAGGCUGGAUCCCGGGCUGUGUCCCGGCGCCCUGUGCCCCAGUCUGUGCUGUUGGAUUCGCGCUCCCGCCCGCAGCCCCCU